Homo sapiens (human) is the source of this 2253-nucleotide long non-coding RNA. RefSeq lists it as uncharacterized. Lineage: Eukaryota; Metazoa; Chordata; Mammalia; Primates; Hominidae. The record is from RefSeq and is a predicted model, not a curated record. The transcript has 2 exons.
CAGAGUCACUGCUCCCUGGAGGAAGUUAAUUAAUGCCUCAGUAUUUACCAAGUGUCUGCUGGGGCAGCAUGGAGCUGGGGCAUGGAACCGCUGGGGACCUGGGCUCCCAUCAAACCCCAGGUGGUGUCAGCCCUCCAUCAGAGCAGUUAACACUUCACAAGUGCACAUAUGUCUGUGGACACCUUCUGGUCACCCGGGCUUGGUGGCAGGGGACAUGGUUAGGAAGGCCCCUGAUCCACAGUGGGAUUUGCCCUGUUGGCUCCCGGGGGUUAACUUGGGGAAGGGGUCCAUAGGCAAAAAACUGUAUUGGGGUGUUGUGUUGGAGGAAGUGGGAGAGAAACUUGGAAUUCACACAUUCAUUCAUUUUUCAUUUGCCUGAGAGAUACUUCCAGAAUCCUUCUCUGGAGUCCCUGGGAAUGGGUCAGGGAACAAGAUGUGAUUCUGCCUUCAGAAGGCCACGAUUCAGAGGGAAGCAGACAAGCUAGAUAGACCAGAAAAUACUGAGAGCUAAGUCUGUGAUUGGAAGGACAGGGCUGGAGGAGGGCAGGUCCAAGGUCCAAGGCUGGUCUGGGAAGUGAGAAGCUGAGACCUGGAGACCAGGAAGAGGGGGGAUCUUCUAGCAGCGAGAACAGCAACGAAGGGGCCCAGCCAAAGGCCGGGUCCACAGUGGGCCCUGACCUGUGGCAUGAGUGAAUCAAUGAACCUAAGGAUGCAGACAACAUUGCUAGUUUGAAGGGCCCUGGAGACCAGAUUGACCCCCAGCCUCAAUUUCCAGAUGGGUAAACUGAGGUCUGGAGAAGAGGAGGGAUGUGCUCUGUGUUCAAGACAUGGGACCACAGCUGGGGUUGGAAAUCAGACGUCUCACCUCCGGGUCCUGCCUCUAGCUGCCCUAGUGCACUGUGUCUCUGGCUGGGAGUGUGGCUUGUUCCAGAGGGGUGGGGACCGAAACCCAGGGCUUCGGGCAGUGGCAGGGAAGGCAGAGGGUGUGGCUGGCCACAGGGGUCACUGUUGAGUCUUCUCUUUCUUAGGCUGAGGAGCCAGUGGCGCUGUAGCUGGUGGACACUGGGGAACGAGGCUAGGGCUGCGGAUCUGGGGUAGCCUCCGCUGGCCCCACAGAACUUGCUCCCUGUCACUGGCCCGGGUGGAGGUUAAUGACCCCCGCCCUUCGCUGUUGUCUGUGUUUUCCUAGCAUAGUCCUGGGCAAUAGGCCUAGUGCCCAGAAAGCCACUGUGGCCCUGGCUUCAAGGACCUUAAGUGUAAUGAGAAAGACUGACAGUGGUUUGGCUCUUCUUGGAGCUCUCGCUCUUACCAGGCACUGGACCAAGUCUCCCUGAAUUUCCACACCAACCUUUGAGGCAGGUUCAGUUAUAAUUCCCAUUUCAUGGAUGGAGCAACCGAGGCACAGAGAGCUUGGGAGCCGGCUCAGGUGUCUCUCCCUCCAGGAAGUGGGGCUUGUGCCCUUUGGAUACCUGCACUCCCCAUCACCGCACUCCCCAUCGUGGCACUUCCCUUGUUGCAGUUUUAUGGAGUGUGCGUCUGGCUCUCCAACUAGACUUGAACCGCUUGAGUGCAUAACUCGGGACUUGACCAUUUGCGUCUCCCUACGGCCAGCUCAGCCUCCGCACACAGGGACCUGCAGAGAGUGGAUGUAGCCACUGCCCCAGCGUCCCUGGGCUCUGAAGAGAAGCCAUUGCCCUUCAAGAGCCACCCUCAUUUCCUGGGCACUGGUUGGAAAAAACGAAGAAAAAGAGACACCCAGCUCACCUCCAAGUUUGCCUGCAGGUGAAUAUCUUGUUGAAAGAGAGGGGACUCCCUGAGUCUUGCUGGGUUGAGGAAGCUGAUUGGAUUUCCGGACUCAGAGGAGGGCUGCAGAGAGGGAGGAAUGGGGGGGAUGGGCAGCUGGCUUUCUGGAUGGGUGCAGGACAAUGACAUUGAUGGGGAAGCUUGGGGUGGCUCUGCCGUUGCCCACUGCUUGGCUGGUGAACUUGCUACAUCUUGGCCAGCACUAUCCUCUUCUGGCCUGCACCCUGCCAGACACAGGCAGUACCCCAAAUACCCUGUCCCUGUGCCCCGAAGUCUCCAUGACCUUCAGAUCCCAAGGGACAAGUGGCUCCACGAGGCAGGGCCUGUCCCUCUGGCUCACACUAUGGAGUCCACAGAACCUAGCCCGGAGCCUAGUGCACAGUAGGUGCUCAAUGUAUUCUAUUUGAAUGUUGCAUGAGUGAAUAAAUGCAGGAAUGUCAGGCUGGAAAA